GGUGCCGUGGCGGAGUGGUUACGCACCAGCCUGCAAAGCUGAGUACCCCGGUUCGAUUCCGGGCGGCACCUCCA
RNAcentral lists this transfer RNA (74 nucleotides) under Parvularculaceae bacterium. Its description in RNAcentral is "tRNA-Cys". It matches the Rfam family "tRNA". Rfam says of the family: Transfer RNA (tRNA) molecules are approximately 80 nucleotides in length. Their secondary structure includes four short double-helical elements and three loops (D, anti-codon, and T loops). Further hydrogen bonds mediate the characteristic L-shaped molecular structure. tRNAs have two regions of fundamental functional importance: the anti-codon, which is responsible for specific mRNA codon recognition, and the 3' end, to which the tRNAs corresponding amino acid is attached (by aminoacyl-tRNA synthetases). tRNAs cope with the degeneracy of the genetic code in two manners: having more than one tRNA (with a specific anti-codon) for a particular amino acid; and 'wobble' base-pairing, i.e. permitting non-standard base-pairing at the 3rd anti-codon position. The record is from RNAcentral. Lineage: Bacteria; Pseudomonadati; Pseudomonadota; Alphaproteobacteria; Parvularculales; Parvularculaceae.